UACAGAGGGCUCAAGCGUUGUUCGGAUUCAUUGGGCGUAAAGGGUGCGUAGGCGGCGAGGUUAGUCGGUUGUGAAAUCCCAGGGCUCAACCCUGGAACUGCAUUCGAUACUGCCUUGCUAGAGUACUGGAGAGGAGACUGGAAUUUACGGUGUAGCAGUGAAAUGCGUAGAUAUCGUAAGGAAGACCAGUGGCGAAGGCGGGUCUCUGGGCCGUAACUGACGCUGAGGAGCGAAAGCAUGGGGAGCGAACAGG
Molecule: ribosomal RNA, 253 nt
Filed under: uncultured bacterium
Lineage: Bacteria
Description: partial 16S ribosomal RNA
Rfam family: Bacterial small subunit ribosomal RNA
Source: RNAcentral